Molecule: transfer RNA, 53 nt
Filed under: Gagea iranica
Lineage: Eukaryota; Viridiplantae; Streptophyta; Magnoliopsida; Liliales; Liliaceae
Description: tRNA-Phe
Source: RNAcentral
UUUUUAUGGACUUUGACUUUGAAUUUAUUCACUUAACAUAGAUAAAGUGCUUU